CCCGGCACGACGCGCGGCGCGGCGCCGGCGCCGGUGGCGUCGCCGCGGCCGCCCCGCUUGGAGAAGCCGCAUGGUAGUCGCUGCGCCGUGCUCAUCUGAUGCCUGGACGACAAGGAGCAGCCUGCCAACAUCCCUGAGACAGGCGUCACCAGCGGAUGCAGCAGCGCAAUGCAACCCCUCCUCCUCUGAACUCUGCUCUUCUUCCUCCUCUGCUCUGCUGAUCACACUCUCAAGUCUCUCUCCGGUAUGUGUGUGGGUGUGGCUACAGCUCGAGCUUCAGUGAGGUGUGGUCUAUGAAUGAAUGAAUGAAUGAAUGAAUGAACGGAUGGAUGGAUGAAGGGAUGGAUGAAUGUGGGGAUUGAAGGUGGUCUUGGAAAGAAUUUUUCAGUCCAAAGAAAAAAAAUGGGAGAAAAGAAAAGAAAAGAAAAGAAACUGAAGAAAGAAUGUAAUAUGUUUGUGUAUCUGCUGUAUAUGCAGGAAAUAAUUUUUGGACUCUGCAGAAAUGCUGCUUAGUACAAAAGAAUCAACGAAUCGUCAGGGAGAAAAGAAGAAAGAAUGGCCUAUAACAUCUACGAAGGAAGAAGAAGAAGAAGAAGAAGGUCAAUCAGAUCAGAAGCUGCCGGGCACUCUCUGCAGAGCCUCCUCGCCGGCGGCGAGCCCCAACGCCUCCAUUAAUUUUUCUUCUCCAAGAAAGAUAGAAAAAGCAGAGAAGAAAUCCUACAAGAAAAAAAAUCUAGGAUGGAUGGAUGCGAUGCAGAUGGGGGUUGGAUGGAUGAUCCUAUCUCCUACUGGGAUUUGGCGGGUGGGUGGGUGGAUGGGUUCUUCUCGCUCACUCCUCUAUCCUAUCACACUGUUCUUACCUCCUCGCCAUGGACGAUCCUCUCUGCUCUCACUACCCUAUCCCUCUCACUCACUCUCUCUGGCUGUGGCUGUCUCACACUCUCCCUUGUGAUGAUCUCACCUAUGGGGGAAGAAGAAGCCCGGGGAAAAGGAGGAAACGGCCUCGGCAGCGGGCGCUGUGGGCGGGAACCCCGAGGCAGCGAGCUGAGCCGUCGGAUCGACCACGGACGGCGCAGGGGAUCUGACCGUUGCCUCGCGUCCGGUCAAUGUGACCGUUGCGCGCGCGGGCCCGGGAUGUCAGCCGGCGAGGCGGGUGCGGCUCACGUGACCUGGCCCGUCCGUUUCCUACCGUUGGGGCGCCCACCACCACCACGGCGUGCGCACGGGCGGGGCGUGGGGUGUGGCUGCCGCGUGGGCCCCGCGUCGGGCACGGACGGCCGGGAUCGCGUGGAUCGCACGCCACGCGGGAUAGGUUGACGGGGUCGCCGCGUCCUGCCACGUCGGACGCACGGACCGCACGCGUGCACGCGUGCGUGGCUUACCUUGAAUGCUUUCUGGUGGUCGGAGGAACGACGUCGUCGGCGGAAAUUGACAAAAUACGCAAAUGGCUAAUAUGCUAGGAAAGCAGUGAUGGUCAAUUACAGCUGUGCCACCUUCUUAGCCGUGACGGGUGUCAGAUCCGUAAUUUAAUUCACCUACAAGAGUUUUAUUUUUUGAUGAGUCACUUUAAAGAUCCGUAAAGCCGUGGUAAUGAUGUCGGAGAUAGAUGAUGAACGAAUGUUGGUGUCAAGCUUAUAGACGUUGUGUGGUCUUUCUCAUUUUAUCAUGUUUGUUUUUACGUUACUUUUAGUUUGAUCUUUUAUAACAAGAUACGUAUUAUCGUUAUCCUGUACAAAAAUAUGCAGUAGGAUGGGUGAUUGCACGGUAACAACAACGACGCUGGGUGCUCGCGCUUGGAUAUACGGAUGGUGUGUGUGUGUGUGUAGCCAUGAUCGCUAUCCUAGAGCGGUAGUAAGAAAUUACUACUACCGCUCCGGGGGCGGUACUACCGCUGGAUACUGAAUCUGCUCUAAUUUUCGCAUACGGACUCCGAUUUCAACGGAAUCAAGUUUGUUGAAAAGCUAAUGACAUUGGCUAACACAAUAUUUAUAGAAAUAUCAAUAAGAAGCAAGUGAGAAAAGGCCCAUAAGAAAAUGGUGAGAACCCUUCUUCGAAUAAGACCGGUAAAAACUCCCAACAUCGAAAACAUCAUAGAAGAUGCAUAUGGACUCCGUUUUCGAUGAACUCGAGCUUGUCAUGAAGAUGACCAUAAGCUCUAAAAAUCACAAAGAGAAACACCAAACAAGAACCAAGAAGUAUGAUGCAAGGAUGCAAAUGGUUUGUGAUCUCAACAAACGAUACGAUCAAGCUACUCACUUGAGAGCCCCCCCUGACAGUACAACAAUCUAUCCUAAUACAGAAAACCUAUCAAGGGCAAACCUAUACCUUGCACCUCGUCCUCUUGAGCUAGAUGAUGAUGAUCUUGGCUUCCUCAAGAUGGACCACCUUUCUUGAUUGUGUUGGCUUGAUGAAGACUAGUUGAUUGCUCCCCCAUACUCACUAUGGGUGAGCCACUCUUCAGCAUAUCUUCACAAGUCCAUUGCCACCACAAUGGACGACAAGCUUCAAGCAUGAUAUAUUUGUGUUGAUCCACUUGAACUUGCACACCGCAAUCUUGAUGACGAUCACCACUUGACGUCAUCCUUCAUGGGUUGUAUGAGAUCUUCCUUUUGACGCAAGCCCAUGGAAACACACCUAACCCCCACAUAGAACUCUCACGAAGACCACGGGUUAGUACACAAACACGUAAUGGACAAUGCUUACCAUACCAUGGGAUCACUUGAUCCCUCUCGGUACAUCUUGUACGCUUUGUGUGUUGAUCAUCUUGAUUUCCUCUUUGUCUGACGAUCUUGAUCAACCUUGUGUCUCUAUGACCAUUUUUUGGAUAAUACCUUGAAUAUCAUCUUGAUCAUCAUAUAAACUCCUUGAACCCAACAGAUGGACUUCAAGCAGUGUCUAUGGACAAAUCCUAUAAAUAUAACUUAAGGCAACCAUUAGUCCAUAGUAAUUGUCAUUAAUUACCAAAACCACAUAUGGAGAGAUAUGCUCUAACAAUGGGUUCAAUCCAUUUGGUAUGACUAACGCCACAUAUAGUUGUUGGCCUGUGUUUGUUAUUCCGAUGAAUCUCCCCCCCGGGGGGGGGGGCUUCUGCAUGAAACGACAAUACAUGUUUCUGCCGCUGGUAAUUCCAGGUCCCGAAUAUCCAGGGAAGAAGAUGAGUUUGUACUUGGAGCUGCUUGUGGAUGACUUGAUGGUCGCUUGGGAUAAAGGGAUACGGACAUACAACGCCCUAACAAAGAAGCACUUUGAUAUGUAUGUUUGGUACUUCACAUCCGUGCAUGACCUAUCAACACGUGCAACUUUUUGCGGCUGGUGCGUACAUGGGAAGUGGCCUUGCCCGGUGUGUAUUCAGAAUCUAAUGUUCUAUUGGCUGAAGAAAGGUGGGAAGUAUACCUGCUUUGACAAGCAUCGCCAGUUCCUUCAUCCUGAUCAUCCAUUCAGAGAAGACAAAAAAAACUUCAAGAAAGGUAAAGUUAUUGAUGCUCCACCACCACUUGUGAUGACCGGUCACAUGAUCAAGGCUCAAUUAGAUGGUCUCCAGCCCAAUGCCAAUGGGUCAGGUUUUGUGGGAUAUGGAGACAUAACUGGACUCACAUACCAUGCCUAUGGAGGCUCCCUUACUUUGUUGAUCUCCUCCUCCCACAUAACAUUGAUGUAAUGCACACUGAGAAGAAUACCGCCGAGGCCCUUUUCGGCACAAUCUUCGACACUGAGAAGACGAAGGACAACGUGAAGGCCAUACUUGAUCAAGAGAAACUUUGUGAUAGGCCGAAUUUAAAAAUGGUCGAACCCGGACCCAGAAGAAAAGGGUGACGGAAGCCUCCAACCCCGUUCUGCCCUGUAAGGAAGGAUAGGAAGGUAAUGAUGAAGUGGGUCUUGGAUAAAUUGCGGUUCCCUGAUGGGUACGCAGGAAAUAAAUGAAGGGAGUGAAUAUGAAUACGUUGCGAAUAGGGGGUCUCAAGAGCCAUGAUUAUCACGUUUGGCUUGAACGGGUGAUGUCGGUGAUGAUUCGAGGCUUUGUCUCCGAGGAGAUUUGGCGAGUACUGGCGCAGUUGAGCUAUUUCUUCCGACAGCUUUGUGCUAAAGAGUUAGACCCAAAAGUCGUUGACAAGCUAGAGAAACAGGCACCAGAGUUGGUGUGCAAGCUAGAGAAGAUCUUUCCACCAAGCUUCUUUAAUCCGAUGCAACAUAUGAUCUUUCCACCAAGCUUUUUUAAUCCGAUGCGACAUAUGACGUGUUUCGCGCACUCGGUUUAUAAGUUUUUUCCUCUAGAGAUAGAUUCAUUAUGAACAUUCAUUAUUAGCAGAUGAUCAAACAAGAGAGUUAAUGUCUUUGGGAUAUAAUAGAGCUUUUAUGCUUGUUUUUUUAAAAGGGCAGUGUUAUGCAUCCCGCCGGAUAAUCUAAAAAGAUAUUUGUAAAGUACAUACAGAUCUAAAUGUCACAAACCCGUUGACUAAACCUCUUCCACGAGCAAAACAUGAUCAACACCAGAACUCUAUGGGUGUUCGAUUCAUCACAAUGUAACUAGAUUACUGACUCUAGUGCAAGUGGAAGACUGUUUGAAAUAUGCCCUAGAGGCAAUAAUAAAGUGGUUAUUAUUAUAUUUCCUUGUUCAUGAUAAUUGUCUAUUAUUCAUGCUAUAAUUGUAUUAACCGGAAACCGUAAUACAUGUGUGAAUAUAUAGAUCACAAUGUGUCCCUAGUGAGCCUCUAGUUGGCUAGCUCGUUGAUCAAUAGAUGAUCAUGGUUUUCCUGAUCAUGGACAUUGGAUGUCAUUGGUAAAGGAAUCACAUCAUUAGAAGAAUGAUGUGAUGGACAAUACCCAAUCCUAAGCAUAGCACUAGAUCGUGUUGUUCGUCUGCUAAAUCUUUUCUAAAUGUCAAGUAUCAUUUCCUUAAACCAUGAGAUUGUGCAACUCCCGGAUACCGUAGGAGUGCUUUGGGUGUAUCAAACGUCAUAACAUAACUGAAUGAUUAUAAAGGUGCACUACAGGUAUCUCUGAAAGUGUGUGUUAGGUUGGUACGAAUCGAGACUGGGAUUUGUCACUCCUUGUGAUGGAGAGGUAUCUCUGGGCCCACUCGGUAAUGCAUCAUCAUCCUGAGCUCAAUGUGACUAAGGAGUUAGCCACGGGAUGAUGUGUUACGAAACGAGUAAAGCGACUUGCCGGUAACGAGAUUGAACAAGGUAUAUGGAUACCGAUGAUCGAAUCUCGGGCAAGUAUCGUACCGGUAGACAAAGGGAAUUGCAUACGGGAUUGAUUGAAUCCCCGACAUCGUGGUUUAUCCGAUGAGAUCAUCCUGGAACAUGUGGGAACCAACAUGGAUAUCCAGACCCCGAUGUUGGUUAUUGAUCGAAGAGUUGUCUCGGUCAUGUCUGAUGGUUCCCGAACCCGUAGGGUCUACACACUUAAGGUUCGAUGACGCUAGGGUUGUUAUGGGAAUAGUAUACAUGGUUAACGAAGGUUGUUCGGAGUCCCGGAUGAGAUCCCGGACGUCACGAGGAGCUUUGGAAUGGUCCGGAGGUAAAGAUUUUCGGGGGUCCAUCGGGAAAGGCCACCACCUCCGAAAUGCUAUAUGGGCCAAGAAUGGAAGGGAACCAACCCCUAGGUGGGCUGGUGCACCUCCCAUCCCAGCCCAAGGCGCAGAAGAGGGGGAAGGAGGGCCAACCCUAGGCAUGGGGGCUGCCUUGGGUGGCAAGCCACCCUAGGGCGUCGCCUCCUCCUCCACUUCGGCCAUCGCCCCUCCCAUCUAGGAUUGUCGCACCCCCUAGAGUGGGAACCCUAGGGGUGCACACCCUCCUCCCUCUCCUCCUAUAUAAACCCAAGGGUUUGGGGCUGUUGGACACACAAGUUUCACCUCUCCACGGCGCAACCCUACCUCUCCUCCUCCAAGUCCUCCGUAGCGCUUGGCGAAGCCCUGCCGGAGUACCACGCAGCUCCACCGUCACCAUGCCGUCGUGCUGCCAGAGCUCCCCCUCAACCUCUCCUCUCUCCUUGCUCGAUCAAGCCGUAGGAGACGUCACAGGGUUGCACGUGUGUUGAACGCGGAGGCACCGUUGUUCGGUGCUUAGAUCGGAAUCUUCCACGAUCUGAAUCGCUACGAGUACGACUCGAUCAACCGCGUUCUAGCAACGCUUCCGCUUAGAGAUCUUCAAAGGUAUGAAGACGCGCCACUCCUUUGCUCGUUGCUGGUUUCUCCUAGAUAGAUCCUUGUGUGGCAUAGGAUUUUUUUUGAAAUUACUACGUUAUCCAACAGUGACAUCCGAGCCAGGUUCUAUGCGUAGAUUCUAUGCAUGAGUACAAAACAAAAGUUGUGGGCCAUGAUUUUGUCUAUUGCUUGUCGUUGCUAGUCUUAUCUUUUUUUGGCGGUAUUGUGGGAUGAAGCGGCCCAGACCGACAUUACACUUACUCUUACGUGAGAAUGGUUCCACCGCCUGACAUGCACUUGGUGCAUAAGGUGGCUAUCGGGUUGGACUUACCCUUACGUACGCUUACGUGAGACUGGUUCCACCGCCUGACAUGCAUUUACGCUUACAUGAGACUUGGUUCCACCGCCUGCUUCUCCAUCGCCUGCCGCAACCAUAGCCCGCCGUGGUACCCGAGCGAGCUGGCCACCCACCAACACAAGCGUGGCACGCCUCCCAGGCGACUUGGGCCCCGCCCGUGGCUUGGCUCCACGAGGGCUGCGGUGUGGCGCGGCUCCCCGACAUCUUCGCUCCACCAAUGCUUCCCCUGCAGGGCGCCUUCGGCAUGGGGUGGGGCGUCGUGCCCGUGAGCAGAGCCUGCUCUGGUUCGUGAACCUACUGGCCGAACCGUCGCUGUAGUAGACCUGUAGCUUGCAGGGGAUCUCCCGAGGGUGCUCGAGCCGAAGGACGACACGCAAGGCGGAGAGGUCAGGUGCCUCGACACCAAACACGUUUUUUUUUAUUUCUGAGAGGCACAUCUGUACCUCUCGCGAAAGCAAAAUCAUGCCUCUCGUGAAAGCAGAACCGCGCCCUUCGCGUAAAAAAACCAGAAAACACAUUUUUUCGUUAAGAAAAUUGAUUUUUUUGUCGAAAAGCUAAGAAAUGGCGUGCCUCUCGCGGAAGCAAAACCAUGCUUCUCCCGAAAAAAACAAAAAACACGUUUUUUCCAAAAAAAAGUGAUUUUUUAUAAAAAGCUAAGAAAUACCGUGCCUCUUGCGAAAGAAAAAUUAUGUCUUUCGCAUAAGCAAAACCGCGUCCCUCGUGAAAAAACAGAAACAUGUUUUUUUUUAAAAAUGAUUUUGUUUAUAAAAAGCUAAGAAAGACCAAUGAAAUUCCGAAACACCAAAAACCCCAGAAAAAAUUAAUCUAAAAGCUGAAAAUGCGUGUGAAAAAAUAAAAAAAUAAAAUUCAAAGGGAACGUUUAGAACGCGACACACUUUGAUGCUACUGGAGCGGCCUGCUACGGUAGAUCUUUGAUUGGCCUUGGCCGGCCCACCGGCCUACUCGGCGACGCCCCCGUGCGAAAGUUCUGAUAGAGGAGCUCUCCGCCGUCCCUCACCGCAAUCCACAAACCCCACCGCACAACCGGACCGCCGCCGCCAGCCCGCGGCCGAUCUCCUCCUCCUCAAAGCGCAGGCCGCCUCGAUCCUCGUCCUCCUCCACGCGCAGGUGGCCGCCGCCAACCUCUGACGCGUGGGUGCUCGCCGCCCAUCCUCGAGUCGACCUCCGUCCCCGAGGCCAAGGUCUCCGUCCGCCUCUCCCCGCGUGCUCGGCGAGCUGAAGGCGGCCGACCUACUCCUCCCCCCGCGAGCUGCAACCCUGUAUCUGUACGUAUCGUUUAAUCUCUAUUACCCACACCGUCUCUUCAUUUUCUUAUGUGCCACUUCUGUCGCGUGCAUGCCAGGUGUUCGGCAAAAUGCCUAUGCGUACCAGUACUAGUGUAGUACCGCCUGCUCUAGUUUAGCUCCUGCAUGCAUACCGUUGUGCACGUCAUGCAUAGGACCGAUUCUAUAGGAUCCAUACCGACCGGCAUGGCAGCCUGGUACGUAGUAGGGGAUUAGUUGAGUCUCGAGCUGUCUCUCCUCUGUUUGUAUGUAAACUGCACAGUGCUAACUGAAUAUAGCUAGUGUGUUACAUCGCAUCUUCUUUUCCCUCUCUACAUGGUAUUAAUUAGUCGCCCUAGGAUUCUCUGCCUUGGCGGAGAUGGAUGGAGGAGGUGUGGGAGUUCAUGGUGGCUUGAGCGGAAGCGAUAGGCAGAGAAUCAUGUGGCAACUGAUACCAUAUAGCUAGUGAGGGAGAAGAACUUGCGAUGCAACGCACAUAUAUCCAGUUCGUCUUCUGCAGUUUUUUUUAGGGAAAAGUUCGUGUUCUGCAGUUUAUAUACACAUGAGAGGCAGCUCGGGACUCAACUAAUCUCAUACUAUCUAGCCACUAUGCAGAGGAUAGAGUAGUCGAGGCUGCCAAGGCCAGCCGGUAUGGAUCCUACAGAAUCGGUCCUAUACAUGACCUGUAUAACAGUAUGCAUACACGGUACGCAGGAGCUACGCUUCAAUAUAUGUGUGUUGCAUCACAAGUUCCUUUCCCUCUCUACAUCACUAAAUAGUGUAUUACCACCAAAUAGCAUAGCAUGAUUUCAUUCACAGAUAUAUGAUUAGAGUAUCUUGCAAGAAAUAAAUUCUAGACACAUGUGCUUAUUACGACAUUGUCGUGCCGCUAGUAAUAUAUUCUCUAUUUAGAGUUUUUCAUCUUAUUUGCACCUUCUAAGUGGAUUUAUUUUAUUUGGCCAUUCAGGAAUUCUUAGAUGUGGGGAAAUGUUAGUACAAUAUGCAAUAGCUUGUGUUGAAGUAGAUACCCAGAUUUGUGUAGCUAAUCAACUCUUUGUGUACCAGAAAAUUUUCUACAUGGGGAAGCAGCCGGGAAACACUGGCCCUUCCUCGGCAUCCAGGUCGGCGAACCAGGCCGUGUCGCUCCGCGAGGAGACCUCCGGGAAGGCGCAGGUUGACGUGCCCUCCCUCCUGAGGGUCCAGCAUCUGCAGCGGCUGGGGGCGUGGGCGAGCGGGGAGGCAGGAGUUGGCUCGAUCGGGGCACUGCUGGGCUACCGCCUCGCCACGAACGCCGAGGCUGCCGCGAUCCCCAUAGGCGCCUCCACCUUUGUUUGCCAGAGGUAAGAGUUACAGCUUAAUGUUUCGUCUUAAAAUGCUCCAUUCAUGUGUUUAAUUGUUUGACCAUAUCAAUCUGACUAUUAUCUUCAGCAUUUAAAUUUCUGUUAUAAUUUAUUCGUGUUCAACUUAUGAGCAAUUACAUUGUUUUCGGACAAAUGCUUGUCCGAACAAAGUAGCAUGUCUGCAUCUUGUGAUGUGGCAAACUGAGACUUCGAGAAACAAACACAUUGUAUGAGCUUUCCAACAGGCAAUACAGUAUUUAUUUUUUCUCUGUUAGAUGGACUGUUAGCCCGUUGCUGAUAAUCUUUGAUUGGAGAAAUGGGAAAGUUUUAGGUUUAUUAACGGAGUUUUUUCCUUUGGUUCACAUAGGCAAAACUGUAACAGAGUUACUGAGUGAAUGAAAUUUAUCUAAAUUUUGUUUUCACUUUUUACAUGGAAAGGCUCAUUGUAAAUAUCUAAAAGAAACUUCUGCCCAAUGAUUAAGAGUCGAGUGACAGUGUACCAGUCCUACGUUAGGUGUUGACUGAGCACAUUGACUGGAUUGGUUGGCACAGUCAAUUGGCUGGUUGACUAGUCGCUGACUAAUUGUGACAAGUUGAUCCCCUUUGUUCGAGUGGCUCAAAAUCCUAGUCCCUGCCUGCGCAGCCUCCAGAUCGAGUCGUCUCCUGGGCGUUGCAAAGCCUAGCCUUGCCAGGCCACUGCCACAGUGACUGGGGGCCUCAACACCGGCCGUUUUUGCCACCCUCAUGAGUGAUAUUCUCAUACGCCCUCCUGUCUCCGUUGCUAUGUAUUCAUCCUCUCCUCUCCUUGCUGAACUCCUGGUUUGUGCUUUCGUCUGUUCCUUCCAAUACUCUGUCAUGCUGAAUUAUUUGUUCGAUCUAUGAUUUCCUCACUUCCUUCCAUAUCGUACUAGCAGUAUAUCAUAGGCAGAGGUAGCAGGUGGAGAUAGAGCCAUAAGUUGCUGCCAGCUGGAGCUGUUUAGAAGCAUGGUCCCUCCAUCCUGAGAUCCUAAGAGGAAGCCAACUAAGCAAAGGACUCCAGUAUCAGUUAUACACAUACAGUUGACUUGUCGAAAUCGGUCUACACAUGAACUAUUGUGUUAACUAUGCUGUACAAUCAUCUUGCUGGAUCCAUAUUUGCUUGCACAUGCAAUUACGUUUCUCAAGUUUCUCAGUGCAAUAUAUCAGUUCAAGCACUUAUUGGAUUUCUGCUAAACUCAUGAUAGUCACAAAAACAGUUUUUGUUGACUUACAUUGAUUUAGUGGCACCACUUUAUCGCAGUGAUUUAUGUUCUGUUUUCAGCACCCACUGUUGCUGGGAUACUGUCUCCUAUCGAUUUGCAAAACAGGUUUUAUUCAAUGACAGCAAUCUGUCAGAUAUAGAUAAUUGUUAGAUGGGUGGUCGUAAGGCCAAAAAAAUGAUCUAACAUACAAAAUUUAAGUGAAACAUCUUGUGUUCAAAACAAUGAACUACGCAAAAGCAAGACAAAAGAUGGGAAGGUUAUUGGUCGUCCAUUUUGCAUGUUACAUCGGUUCUUUACUGGAAUGCAUGUUAGCUGAUUGUUCUGGAUCCAUGUAUUGUCAAAAUGUGAGCUUACUAGCAUAGAAGAACUGGAAAUAAAAAAACUGUGUUGAUAAUGUUGUAUGAGUAUUCCGGCUUAGAGCAAAUUACCACAGAGCUUCUCUGCCUUGCUUAACCUUUAUAUCAGAUCUCUUAUAUGUAUGUAUGUAUGUGUGUAUCAAUUGAUUUUUAAUACGUCUUACAGUCUGUAGUAAUACUGAUAAAAACUUUUGGGUCGGAGGAAUAUUUGGAAGUGUUUAGAUCACCGCAUGACAUUCAGUAUCCUUUCAUUUAGCCACUUUGCGAAAAGGUCCUUUGGGAUAUAUUAACGCACAACACUAACACUAACUGUGUAAAGAACAUCUCGAAUCUGCAGUAUGUUUAUCAGCGGCCAGGUUGAAGGGUCUAUGAUAUUCUUGUACGUAUAUGGAUUAUGUACGUGGUCGAUGCAGUUUGUUUGUUAUGCUGUUUGUCCAUAUCAAUAAGCCUUAUAUGUACCUCUGACAAAAGAUUAUUCGAAUAUUGCAGGUGUGAAUCAAUCUUACAGCCAGGCUUUAACUGCACAAUCCGCAUAAAGAACAACAAAAAGAAAGCAAAGCGGCGCAAGAAGUCAAAUCCGGGCCAAAAUAGUGUUGUCUAUGCAUGCCAUUUCUGUGGAGACCAAAACCUGAUACGGGGUAGUGGAAAGGGUUUCGUGAAGGGUCUGCUGUCAUCAAGAAAGCCUGUUAGCGUAAUGUUGAAAGGAGACAAUAUUAGCGUUCCAACAGUAACUGCUAAAAAUGCGACUGAGCAUUCUGUAACAGCAGGCUCACAACUGGAACCAUCCAGGUUGAAAACAUCUACUCUUGAAAAAGAUAAACGAGGUAAUGGGCCAAAAUCUUAUCUUCCCGAAGAUUCUAAAAUGGAGAAAGGGGCAGCCUUUUCAAUGGUUGAUCGUGGUCAGUUAGCAGAUGCACACGAAGAGACCCCACAAAAAAUUGAAGUAGAAAGCACACAUGAUAAGCGUAUGACUAGACUUGUGCCCGUGUCUUCUAAAAACAUUACAAUAUGUGAAUCCGAUGUCACUUCUCAAGCAGAAUUUCUACUUGGGUCAAACUUCGUUACUCCUCGGAAGAGCAAACUGGUUGAAGUGACUGUGCCUAUAGCUUCAGCAGAAGCAUUGGAGACUGGAAGUACACUGAGCAGCAAAGGGCAGAGUUGUGGUUCCGCUGCUGGCAAGAUCCCUGGAAGUUAUAGCAAGUCAGCUUCGAAUAGCAAAUCUGUGCCAGGUGAUUCUACUCAGGCAGCUGGCAGUUCAAGAAAGCGGGCAAGAAAAGGGUGGACUACGCUGAAGCAGAUCGCUGAGAAGGACGAGCUUGAGAGAAAACAGAAGAUGGAUAACUUUGUAAUCCCGUUCUUCAUGCAGUAGAAUAUAUUUUACUUUUGGCAUCUGUUGUAGACGUUGGGCUGGAAGAACAGUUGCAGGUUUUAGUGAUACUUUUUAGUUAUGUACUUCUGCACCAAUCAUGUUGUAGAAAUAUAAAGUUGGGAAGGAGUUCAAAAUUAAACCUAAGGCAGAUAUGCUAGCAGUCAUAGGAAUGAAAGUUAAGGCUUGAAUAUUCACCAGUGCGGGUGCGCUUGGCUCGAGCUGCCAAGCUGUGGAAGGUAAAGUCCAAUAUUCUGUUCGGUUCUUGGCUGAAGGGUGGGUUAACAAUCCAGAGUUUGUUCUCUGUAUAAAGUUUUUCCGUUGCUAAUUGAGUAUUUUAUUAUUUGUGUCAGAUACCAUCGCUGGGACCAUGCUAUGGACUAGAGCAGGGACGGAGCCAGGAUUCUCGCAAGUUUCCAAUUAUGGGGGCAAGAUUUUGCCUCUACUGUGAGGAGAGACUAACACAAAUCAUGCAGAGAUUCUAACCGAGUUUUUUUUCCUUUGUGACAAUAGCCUACGUUGAUAAACUAAAUCUUAAUCAAGCCAAGAAAAUUGAUGUCGGCUAUGAACAAUUUAAUCUUGAUUUGUCAGAAGUUUUCAUGAAGCAACUGUGUAAAGCAAAUCAUAUUUAGGAACUAAAUUUUAUUACUACACUAGGGGAUAAACAAUGCAAAAUCUUGUCUCAUGGGCCAUGAAUAGUCCCUAAUUAAUUUCAUGUAGUUUCUACCGAUCAAAUCAUGUGUGCAAUUCUAAAGGGACAUAGUAGUCUAAUUCUAUGGAUUGAGUAACGAGGAUAAAAGACUGAAUUGUAACCUAACCGUUUUCCUUGCCUCAUUGCCGGCGUUGGUGGCUAUCAGGCUAUUAGAUUGAAAAAUUGUAGAUCGCCCUAGCAAUUCUGCACUUUUAGAUUGAAAAGCUGCACAUCUCUAUGAAUCAAGAACAGACCUAUAAAAGCUACACAUCCAUGAAUCAAGAACUGACCUAGCCCCCCCCCCNNNNNNNNNNNNNNNNNNNNNNNNNNNNNNNNNNNNNNNNNNNNNNNNNNNNNNNNNNNNNNNNNNNNNNNNNNNNNNNNNNNNNNNNNNNNNNNNNNNNNNNNNNNNNNNNNNNNNNNNNNNNNNNNNNNNNNNNNNNNNNNNNCACAUCUAUAUGAAUCAAGAACAGACCUAUUGAAAGCUACACAACCAUGAAUCAAGAACUAACCUAGCCCCCCCAACAGCAGGAGGCGGCAGGCCAGCAGGGAAACGCUGAUCGUAUAGUCUAAUCUACUCCUAGCAGUCAUCAAACGCUGAAACGCAGUGACCACCCGACUUACGAGUACGAUCGUGAGGCAUAGAUCGUGAAAGACCUAUGCGAACGUGGAUCCAUGACCUAGCCCCUUUGUCUUCCUGGACUUUCUUUUUCUUUUAGGCCUCGCCUAUGAUCUUCCGUACAUGGGCUACAGGGGCUGGGCACAGGAGGGCUUCUAGUAACGUUACAUAGAGGGAAAGGGGGGGGGGGGGGNNNNNNNNNNNNNNNNNNNNNNNNNNNNNNNNNNNNNNNNNNNNNNNNNNNNNNNNNNNNNNNNNNNNNNNNNNNNNNNNNNNNNNNNNNNNNNNNNNNNNNNNNNNNNNNNNNNNNNNNNNNNNNNNNNNNNNNNNAAUCCAACCCUCUCGUGUAGGGUUUAUCGUAUCUCGCGACGGCGACCCCGCCGAAGCCUAGAGUUCUCGUCUACCAGCCGGUCAACCCUCGAGCUCUCGUCGCCCCGUUCCUUCUAGGCUACGGGCGCGCUAGGGCAUUAGGGUUUUGCCGGAUCGUUCCCUUCAUCUGAUCAAGACUAGCGCCGCUGGAUCCCAACCCUAGAUGGCGAAUAAGGAAGCGUCGUCGUCGGCGAGCUUGGCAGGGAGGUACCUUGAGGAGAUGCUGCAACACUUGGAUCUGCAAGAGGAUGAGCUGGAUGAUGUAGUGGUUGGCGAAGAAGAAGUGAAUUUUUUUUGAAGCGGAUGCGAGAUGGCUGGCGAUAGGUAGGGUUAACACGUCACGGUCGUUCAGUUCGUCAGCAAUGUUUGAGACUCUUAAAUCAAUCUGGAGGCUGGCCAAUGUUCCAUCGUAUCGGUAGGCUGGUGAAAACUUAUUCAUCUUUCAGAUGUUUUGUUUAGGAGAUUGGAAGAAUGUGGUGCAUGGUGGCCCUUGGUUGUUCCGAGGUAUGGGGAUGCUCACUGAGGAUUAUGAUGGCAAGAAAGAACCCGCAUCUGUUGCUUUCGACGACCUCUACGUCUGGGCUCAAAUCCAUAACAUCUGAGAGCUUUACCACAAGGCAGAAGUGGUGGAUCAACUCACUAGGCGUAUCGGGCGUGUGAAGGAGACCCAACUCAAUCCUCGGCUCUUCUUUGAAGGUGAGUACGUUAGGGUCCAUGCAAGGGUACUGGUGAACAAACCUUUCACGAGGGUGAUACAUACCCCUUAGUGUUGCUGGAGAGGGGAGGAAGCUACUCCCGGUGAAGUACGAGAAGAUUCCCUAUUUUUGUCAAGUCUGUGGCAUCAUGGGCCAUAACCAUGAGGAGUGCGGCGAUGGUGUUUGGGAGGAAGCGCACAAACAAUGGGGAAGCUGGAUGCUAGUACGGCGGAGGGAGACACCCCAAGAGCAACCAGAUGGCGAACGGGGCCCGCGCGGUGGCCGAUCUGGCGGCCAUGGUGGAGGCAGGGCGCGGAGGGGUGGCAUAGCACGCCAGUCGCCCCCCUCGCAAGCAAUCAUCACAAGAAGCUGGCCUAGAUGCCGAGGAGGAUGACGAGGUGACUAGCCCGCUGAAGCCGAUGGCUGAGACAAGUGUUGCACACGACGCCUCCGUGGCUCGCCGCAAUUUGGACGAAGUAUUGGCUGAUAGCGCCCCUGUUCAGAUGCUUUCGGAUGCUAUGGUGGUUCUGGAUGCUGGGGCGUCAAACAUGGUUUCGCCGGGGGCCACGAGCACUACCCUUGGUGCAGUUCCGCCGCCUCCCCCGGCGUAUAUCUCACCGCGGGACGUCAAGAAAGCCAGAAAGGAUGGCUCUCCCUCGAAACAGAGCAAAGUGAUGCUCGCAAAAUUGGCGGGCUCCAAGAAGGAGUGCCGCCAGGCCCAAUGAAAAUACUAAGCUGGAAUUGUCGUGGGAUGGGCGAUCCCACGACAGUCCGAGAACUCCGCGACCUUGUGGAGAUCAGUUCGCCUACUAUUAUAUGCUUGGUAGAAACUCAGUUACAGAAGAGCCGCACUUAAGGCCUUCGGUUCUCGUUAGAUUUUGAUUUUAGCUUUGGUGUUAGCAGUAGUGGUCGUAGCGGUGGAAUUUGUAUUUUCUGGAAAAAUGCCAUUGGCGUUACAAUAAAGAAUUAUUCUGAGUAUCGUGUUGAUGCAUGGAUCACGGUUCCAGGCCAGGAUCAAUGACGGAUGACGUGUUUCUAUGGAGAAGCCACUAGGAGCCUUCGUCACAAGACCUAGGAAACUAUGAAACGUCUGAGGGGCAUGAGCACUCUUCCGUGGAUCUGCAUAGGGGACUUCAAUAAGAUUCUGAGGCCAAAAGAACAACAUGGACCAAAUGAACGUGAUAGUACGCAGAUUGAAGCCUUUAGGGAAGUGGUGGAUGUCUGUGGUAUCGCUUAUUUGGGUUACCGAGGACUCAACUGGACCUGGGAAAAGAACGUUUCAGGGGGCCAUUUUUGUCGGGUGCGGCUAGAUAGAGCUAUGGCCUCCCCCUGUUGGUCUGCGCUCUUCCCUUUCGCUACGGUGGAGCACUUGAUAGCUGCCAAAUCGGACCACAACCCCAUUCUCCUUGAGACCGAGCUGGUGGACUCCAGCGCCCGAGCCAAGCAGAAGAAGCAAUUUCGCUAUGAAUGCACGUGGGAGCGAGAACCCAGCUUUGGGGAGGUAGUUGCCGAAGCUUGGCAGACGGCGGGGCGUGCCCAAUCUGUUUCGGCGCUGACACGGGAGCUUGCUAUGGUUGCUAGAAGGCUUCAAAGUUGGGGAUGGACCACUUUCGGUUCGGUUAGAACAGAGUUGCGGUCCCUUCGUCUUAGUUUGCAAACCAUGCGUUCUGCUCCUGAUCGUACUGGCCCAACGAGCGAGGAGGAGGCGAUUGAAGCAAGGAUGGUGGAGCUGUGCUUGCGGGAGGAGAUUAUGUGGCGGUAGAGUACUCGUAUCCAAUGGCUGGCGGAAGGAGACAUCAAUUCUAAAUUCUUUCACCACAAAGCAAGUGCGCGCAAAGCCCGUAAUCGUAUUACCGAGCUGCAAAGAGCUGAUGGUUCAGUCUGCAACGAGGAAGAGGAGAUGGCAAGCAUGGCGACUAACUUCUAUGUCAACUUAUAUACCUUGGAGAACACAUAUGGUAUGGAGGAGGUACUUUCUCAUAUACCGUCCCAACCUCAAUGCUCCCUUUACCAAAACUGAAGUUAAAACUGCACUUUUUCAAAUGUUCCCUACCAGAGCCCCUUGACCUGAUGGGUUCCCAACACACAUUUUUUUUCAACAACAUUGGGACCUUUGUGGUGAUGAGGUCAAUGAUAUGGUGCUUAGAGUUCUGAGUGGAGAAGAUUCACCGGAGGAGAUAAACAAGACUUUCAUUGUUCUAAUCCCAAAGAUUGCAAGACCAAAACACCUAGGACAGUUUCGACCGACCAGUCUCUGUAAUGUGAUCUUCAAGAUUGCAUCCAAGGUACUGGCUAACCGACUCAAACUUAUUCUCCCUGAGAUAAUCUCUGAGGAACAAUCAACAUUUGUACCAAGCCGUCUUAUCACCGACAAUUUUAUCUCUGCAUACGAGUACCUGCAUUAUAUGAAGACCAAGAAGGUGAAAAGGAAUCGGUAUUGUGCUCUCAAGCUAGAUAUGAUGAAGGCAUAUGAUAGACUUGAGUGGGUUUAUCUAGAGCAAGUCAUGCUUAAGCUGGGGAUCCGCCAUCAGUUUACGGAGACAGUUAUGAGGUGUGUCACCUCAGUUAUUUUUAAUGGAGGCAAGCAAGAGGAAUUUAGGCCUUCUCGGGGUCUUCGCUAGGGCGAUCCUAUUUACCCUUAUCUCUUCCUAUUGGCAGUUGAAGGUCUUUCAUGUAUGCUAAAAACCACGAGUGCUACUGACCGUAUCGAUGACAUAACGGUGGCUCCGAAUGCACCUCAGGUAAACCAUCUCCUGUUUGUUGAUGAUAGUCUCCUAUUCCUUAACACUAUACCGGAGAUGGCUGGCAGGGUGAACUCUCCCCUUCAGAGUUAUUGCGCUGCCUCGGGACAACGGGUGAACAAGGACAAGUCGUCCAUCUUCUUUAGCAAGGGGUGCUCCGAAGACCUUAGAGAGGAGAUCAAACAGGUUCUAGAUGUACACACUGAACAGCUCUCUGAUAAAUACUUGGGUUUGCCCUCUGAUGUCGGACGUGCAAAAGAGGGAUCUUUCAAAUUUUUAAAAGAUCAAAUCUGGAAGCAAGUCCAAGGAUGGAUGGAAAAAGCGCUAUCCGCGGGAGGGAAAAAGAUUCUCAUCAAGUCUGUUGCACAGGCCAUACCUACUUACUCCAUGGCGUGCUUCAAGCUUCCUAGGGGGCUUUGUUAGCAUAUCAAUGGGCUCGAGAGGAAGUUCUGGUGGGGCUCAAAGCAGGGGGAGAGGAAGACUGCUUGGGUUUCUUGGGAAAUCAUGUCACAACCUAAAUUCAUGGGGGGCAUGGGCUUCCGUGACAUUGAGCUGUUCAACCUUGCGCUGCUAGCCCGGCAAGCAUGUAGCCUACUCCAGGAGCCAGACUCUCUCAGUGCCCGAUACUGAAGGUAGUUUAUUUUCCCUCUACGUUCAUUCUCCUUGCAGAACUGGGCAAGCAUCCUUCACAGGUUUGGCGCUCGAUUGUAGAGGGACGAGAUAUACUGCGACUCGGUUUGAUAAAGCGGAUUGGGUCUAGGGUAGAUACUGAAAUAUGGCAUGAGAACUCGAUACCGAGGGAUUUUAAGCUCCGCCCGGUCUACCCCAAGUCUGAAAACCCUCCACUGAUGGUUGCUAAACUCAUUGACCCUGUCACACGAUCUUGGGACCGAACUUCUUUGGAGGUGAACUUCUAUCCGAUGGACAUGAAAGCAAUCUUAAAUUUCCCACUCAGUUCUAGCGUUCAGUGUGACUCCUGGGCAUGGCACUACGAGAAGAAGGGCACCUUCCUUGUUUGGUAUGCUUACCGGAUGCUGGCUUCCAUCAAACAACAACGCAAGGAUUGGCUCGAACACACUGGGGGCCAUUCCGAGACUGCAUCUGAUUGUCGCUCGUGGACACGUCUUUGGGGUGCUUUGGUUCCUUCUAAGGUCAAGGUGUUUUCCUGGAGGUUAACACGCACAUCGUCGAUCCCGACCGGCGAUGUGCGCAAGCAUAGGAGCAUGGCGGCCAUGGCAGAAUGCUCGCUAUGUCGCGCGACGGUCGAUACAUGGCGUCACGCCCUCUUCGACUGCCACAUGGCGCGCUGUGUGUGGGCCUUGGAGGAUGAGGAUCUUACCAAAACUAUUAUCUCGAACCGGACUGAAGAUGCGAAGCUCUGGAUGCUAUGGCUGGUGGACACGCUUCCCACGCCGGCCCUUGCCAGAGUCCUUGUGAUGAUGUGGGCCAUUUGGUGGGCGCGUCGGAAAGCAAUCUUCGACGAAAUAUUUCACAGCCCGUUAAGCUCACACUUGUUCAUCAACAAGUUCCUGGCUGAGCUGGAGAUGAUCCCCACACUUCUGAAUCAGGCGAAGGAGCGGCGGUUGUUGUCGAGGGGCGACCCUACUCGUGUGCAGCAACUGCCAAAGUGGUGUCCGCCGGUGGAGCAUGCAGCAAAGAUCAAUGCUGAUGGAGGCUUCUCCAAGAUUGGCGAUCGAGGGGCGUCAGCUGCGGUGUGUAGGAACAAGGAGGGGGAUAUCUCGGUGCCUCGGCGGUCAUCUACGAAGGGCUCCAGGACCCGACAGUUCUUGAGGCUCAGGCUUGUCUAGAGGCACUUGCGCUCGCAAAAGACCUCAACACCCAAUCCGUGUGCUUUGCAUCUGAUUGCUUGGAAGUUGUCUCUAAUAUCGAGAAGGAGGUCCCCUGUCGUUAUGUUGCCAUUCUCCAUGAUAUCAAGCAUCUGAGUAGUUCUCUUUAAGAUGUAAAAUUCAUUCAUGAAAAUAGGAAGUUUAAUGGUGAGGCCCAUGCACUAGGUAAAGCUGCUGCAUCCCUCCCUCCCGGGCGCCACUUGUGGCUCACUAGUUUGUCCGAUAUUAUCCGUAUCCCCAUGCGACCAUGCCUCUGAACUUAUAAUAAAGGAUACAGUUUCGUUAAAAAAAGAAGUCAAAUCCAAUCGCUCAUAACGUCGAAACAUCAUCGUUGCCCCCCCAUCCCCCUUGCAUCCGUCCCUGGACUAGAGUUAUACAUGCAGUCCGCUACUCUCUGUUAUCAGUAUUUGGUACUAACAUAUUCAUACUCAUAUUUAUGGCACUUCUUUAGGUGCUCUGGUACUAACCUACAUAGCAUCCAUAUUCAGUUCUUGGGGCAUCACCUGCUUGAAUCCUGCAGACACGACACUAACAAAAUGUGCAGAUUUAACGGAGAAAACACCCAUGGAGUCAAAGAACCAUGUGCAGGUAUCCUCCAUGUCACUUCUCAGCGGAACGGCCAAAAUCAUCGCGGGGUCCUAUGUUAACUGCACAUCCCAGCUUUCAGUAUAUGGGUUGAUCAGUUCAUCUACUGACGUGAGCAAUGAUUGUGCCCUCAGCGAGAUUGGUUUUCUAGACCAUUUCCGAGCAGCCAGGGGUCAUUCCAAAUUUGUAUGGUGGUACCAUCCCCUACUCUCAUUUGAUCACCCCUUCCUUCAGUAUCCCUUCAAGAUACUUUUCCAUGUGCAAGAAAUACCCCUCCUUUGGUUGAGCGUUUAAGAGAUCCCCGUCCGGGUAAUAUUUAGAAUCAUAGUUUUAAAUAGCCCGCUAUAGCCUCGCUAUAGCCUUUUCAGCAGGGUGCCGCUAAAUGAUAUCAUGUAUAAAUAUGCCGCUAUAGCCCGCUAUAGCUUCGCUAUAGCUGAUUUAGAGGCUCGCCGCUAUUCACCGUAGCCCGUUAUUUAAAACUAUGUUUAGAACUAAGAACUUGUGCACAUAGGGAAUUUGGAUCCGUGAGCGGCCUCCAGCCCUGUUUUGCUAGCAUCGCGAGGUUAAAGGAAUAAAGAUCCCUAUAUCCAAGACCCCCAUCAUCCUUUGUAAGAGUAAGCUUUUUCCCAAGGAACUUUAUUUUUCUCUUCAUGGUUUGGCCAAAAGAACCUCCCAAUCAUACAAUGGACCAGUUCUUUUGGCAACUUAAAAACUAAGCCGCCUCCUUCUCAGCUUUUCUCAUAAGCUACCUUUCUUAUUCAUUGAGGCUUCUAAACUAGUUAUGGGACAACUGAUUUAGAAGUCCUGAAAAAUUUAAGAGGUGGCUUAUUUUUUAGGAAAAGAUUCUCUUCUACCGACCAUCGCACGCCGUCGUCCGCCGGCUCCGCGGCCGUUCGAUCGUGUGAUCGUACGUCCAUCUUUUCGUUUUCCUGCAACUCACGUAUUGUUUCAGGAUAAACAUUUUUGAUACUAGAUAUAAGUAGAGGCGUUUCGGGGCUCGUCUGGCUGUGAGAGCGAGCGGCUGGAUUUGGAUUUUUUUUCUACAACAUCCUCCUUGUUGCAAGAAAAAAUUCUGCAACAUUAGUUAUGUUGCAGAACACUUUCCGUAACACCAAUGUAAAGUAGAAAAAAAAAUUGCAACAGUAGUUUUGUUGCAGAAAAAUUCCACCAACAAUAUCUGUGUUGCAAAAGUUCCGCAACACGGUCCGUGUUGCAAACAUCCGAACGCAACAUUAUGCUUGUUGCAAAAAUUAUCAGCUCAAUCUGUUGGUCAUCCCGUAUUAAAUCUUUGUAGCAGAAAAAAUUAUAUAGCCGUUUGCAACUCUAUCGGGGCCCGAAACAAAGCGAUUGUUUCCGCAACUGAUUUGUUGUUUCAGAAAUUAAUGUGUUGAGGAAGACGGCCGAGUCACGUGUCAGGAUUUAGAUCGAAUGGCUGCGGAUGGCUGCACAUGCUGAGAUCCGACGGUUAUCAGUGUGGUGGAUAUUUAUUAGACAUCCGUCGAUGUAUGCGUAGCUUUCCCCUAUUUUUUAAGCUCGAGAAAGGCAGCUUAUUUUUUAAUCCGUCCAAAAGAACUUGCCCUAUAUAUCUGCUCACAAAGUCCUUUGUCCAGAUCAAAACAUGACAUAGCAAAGGUAGGAACACCAAUCGGGUGAGAGCUUAACCACCACGAAGAUAAAAAAUAAAUAGAAACAGAGGAAGAGGCGUGUGAAGAAAACAAAGGAGACGCCCUCAAGAACGAUCUACAGAUCACACGGGCCCCUAAACUUUUAGAAGUUGUUGUAGGAACUUUUGGUUUGACAUAUGGUACAAGGCAUAGAAAGUGGUACGUAUUUUCCAUGGGAGUUUUUAUUAUAUAGAAAAUGUAAUAAUCACUUGCCAUAUACUCCAACUUGGGUUUUCUAGGAAAGAGUACAUUGACAUCUUGUGUAGAUUUAUUCGUCCAUUGAACAUUAAUUUUAUAGAUGGACUAAGAUUUUUAAACCUAUUUUGUAGUAUAACUUUUGAACUACUUAUUCAAUAAGAUUCUUUUAUAUUUGAUUUUUAAAGCAGUUAACAAUCAAUAUAAGAUAUAUUGGCCACAUAAAUUUAUAUUGUCUAUCCUAGAUUGGUUGAGUGUGGCAUUUGUGUGCUCGAGCUCCAUGAGUCUUUUUUCCUGAAAACCCCAAAAUCAUACUAUUAUUUUCAAAGUUUUGUGAACUAAUUUGCGCUCCCAAAGAGAGUGAAGCACAUCCAUCCUUGUAACGUGAGAGCACAUCCAUGCUCCGCAUGAAGCACAUUUGUGAUCCCGUGUGAAGCACACCCUUACUCCAUACAACAACACAGAAAACCUCCGAAAAACCAGGAAACAAGAAAAACCAAAGGAAACAAAUAACAAAAUGAAAACAUCCCGACAUAAGGAACGUCCUGGUUUGGCGGAGUUUUUUGUUUUUUUAGAAAAGCUCGCCGUCUUUAUUCAAUGACCAUAGGUACAAGGUUGGUGUCAUGGGGGAUACCUAGCCACACAUGUCUACCUAUUCCUACGUUACAGGCGAACUUGGCGAGAUUACGCGACUCGAAAUUAAAUACCCUAGACUCAUAGAUAAAAGAUAUAGAAGUAAAUAUAUUACAAUUGUGCUUGAUUUCAUGCAUUAUAGUAGCAUUUGGGCCUCUUGUGCCUUUAGAAAUAUCAUUUACCACCCCCUGACAAUCCUCAGCAAGAGCAAGUGCUUCACGAUAAGCAUACAUCUCCAAAAUUUGAGGAUCAUUGGUGAAAAGGAAAACAAUGGCUGACGAACCUAAGUAGUGUUCACCAUGAUCUCUACAGACUGCUGCUACAGCCCCUCCCCGAUGUGAGCGGGCAACAUCUCCAUCAACAUUUAUCUUCACCUUCCCAGCUGGAGGCGGAAGCCACCGCUGUACCUGUGGAACUGGCCACCGACUGAAGACUGCGGCAUGCACGGUUCAACUUGUCCAAGCUCCGCCAAGUAGUUGUUGAUACGUCUCCAUCGUAUCUACUUUUCCAAACUCUUUUGCCCUUGUUUUGGACUCUAAUUUGCAUGAUUUGAAUGGAACUAACCUGGACUGACGUUGUUUUCAGCAGAAUUGCCUUGGUGUUAUUUUUGUGCAGAAAUCAAAGUUCUCCAAACGUCCUGAAAAUUUACGGAGAUCAUUUUUGGAAAAUAUGAAAAAUACCUGCGCGAAGAUCCACCUGAGGGGGUGGGCCAGUGGGCCACAAGCCCUGGCUCCGCCACCCCCUGGUGGCGGUGGGAAAGCUUGUGGGGCCCACACGGCUCUGCCGCCCCCAAUUCCAGCUCUAUAAGUUCAUUUUCGUCCCAGAAAAAAAUAGAAGAUUUCGUCGCGUUUGCGAUAAGGAGGCGCCGUCACAACCUGUUCUUCAUCUGGAGGGCAGAUCUGGAGUCCGUCUUGGGCUCCGGAGAGGGGAAAUCGUCGCCAUCGUCAUCAUCAACCUUCUUCCCUCUCCAAUUCCAUGAAGCUCUUCGUCGUUCGUGAGUAAUCUAUUCGUAGGCUCGCUGGGCGGUGAUGAGUAGGAUGAGAUCUAUCAUGUAACCGAGUUAGUUUUGAUGGGGAUUGAUCCCUAGUAUCCACUAUGUUCUGAGAUUGAUGUUGCUACUACUUUGCCAUGCUUAAUGCUUGUCACUAGGGCCCGAGUGCCAUGAUUUCAGAUCUAAAAUUAUUAUGUUGUAACCAAUAUAUGUGUGUUUUAGAUCCGAUCUUGCAAGUUGUAGUUACCUACUAUGUGUUAUGAUCCGGCAACCCCGGAGUGACAAUAACCGGAACCACUCCCGGUGAUGACCAUAGUUUGAGGAGUUCAUGUGUCCACCAAGUGAUAAUGCGUCAGUCCGGUUCUUUAUUAAAAGGAGAACCUUAAUAUCUCGUAGUUUCCUUUUGGACCCCGCUGCCAUGGGAGGGAUGGACAAUAGAUGUCAUGCAAGUUCUUUUCCCUAAGCACGUAUGACGACACACGAAAUGCAUGCCUACAUCACAUUGACGAACGGGAGCUAGCCACAUAUCUCNNNNNNNNNNUCACCAAGUGCUAAUGCGUUGGUUCGGUUCUUUAUUAAAAGGAGAACCUUAAUAUCCCGUAGUUUCCUUUUGGACCCCGCUGCCACGGGAGGGAUGGACAAUAGAUGUCAUGCAAGUUUUUUCCCUAAGCACGUAUGACGACACACGGAAUGCAUGCCUACAUCACAUUGACGAACGGGAGCUAGCCACAUAUCUCUCCGUGUUAUAACUGUUGCAUGAUGAAUAUCAUCCAAACAAAUCACCGACCCAUUGCCUACGAGUUUGUCCUACUGCUGUUGUUACUUGUCUUGCUCUGCUGCUUUUACUUGUCUUGCUCUGCUGCUACUAUUGCUACUACCGUCGCUUGCUACUGUUGCUACUUGCUACUGCUGUCACUACUGCUUUUCCUUGCCGCUGCUAUUGCUCGUUACACUGCUGCUACCUGCUACAAUCUUGAUUCGCUUGUCGUUGACGGGAACUGACACUUUCCGUCAACGAGGCAACUUGGCGCCAUUGAUACAAUCGUUAGAAAUAGUCUGCCGUGUCAAGAGAUCGUNNNNNNNNNNGCCGAUCCAUUGCCUACGAGUUUGUCCUACUGCUGUUGUUACUUGUCUUUCUCUGCUGCUGUUACUUGUCUUGCUCUGCUGCUACUACUAUCGCUUGCUACUGUUGCUACUUGUUACUGCUGUCACUACUGCUUUUCCUUGCAGCUGCUAUUGCUCGUUGCACUGCUGCUACCUGCUACAAUCUUGAUCCGCUUGUCGUUGACGGGAACUGACACUUUCCGUCAACGAGGCAACUUGACGCCAUUGAUACAAUCGUUAGAAAUAGUCUGCCGUGUCAAGAGAUCGUNNNNNNNNNNGACGCAUUCAGCUGCUAAUACUUGAGAGUAUUCUCUCACCUCCUGUUUGGCGAUCAACAAAUUUGGGUCGAAUACUCUACCCUCGAAAACUGCUACGAUCCCACGCGCUGGUGGGNNNNNNNNNNUUCUGACACCGUUGUUAUCAUACUACUUUGCUGUUACUACUUUGCUUGCAGAUACUAAUCUUUCAGGUGUGGUUGAAUCUAACGCAUUCAACUGCUAAUACUUGAGAGUAUUAUUUCACCUCCUGUUUGGCGAUCAACAUAUUUGGAUCGAAUACUCUACCCUCGAAAACUGCUACGAUCCCACGCGCUGGUGGGCCGUCAACAACAUUCUUCUAGUUUCGAUUGCCGGAGAGUGCUAGCAGUAUUCUUCUGGUGCCGUUGCAAGGGAAGGUCUGCUGUUACAGAGUCAGCAUUUUUCUGGCGCCGUUGCCGGGGAGGUAUUGCUAUAUUCUCUGAGUCACUUGGGACUUAUAUCUGCCGAUCACUAUGAAGAAUCUGAAGGAUCCGAAGACCAAAGUCUUGCCCUCAACUACGAGGGGAGGUAAGGAAUUGCCAUCUAGCUCUGCACUUGAUUCAGCUUCAGUUAUGAGUAAGUUUGCGCCAUCACCUCCUGCUAGAAAUAUUGAUAUGUCACCUGUGCUUGAUGAUGCUUAUGAUGCUACUGCUAGAGAUGCUAUGCUUGAUACUAUGCCUGAUACUGCUUUGCCUGAUGAUGCUAGAGAUGCUAUUUUGCCUGAUGAUGCUAUGCUUGAUAUUGCUAGAGAUGCUAUGCUUGAUACUGCUAGAGAUGUUAUGCCUGAUGAUGCUAUGCUUGAUACUGCUAGAGAUACUACUUUGCCUGAUGUUCCACUAGGGGUAUUCCUUGAUGCUCAUAUUGCUAGAAUUACUGCCAAUGCUUGUGAUGCUUCUGAAACUGCCGAUACUAUUGAGACAGAACCUGCUUUUGCUCCUGCUAGAUCUAGCUCUCCUAGAUAUGAAUUACCUGAUAUACCUGAGGGUUACGUUAUGGAGGGAGAGAUAGCUGAGGAUUUUCUUGCGUGUAAGGAUGCCUAUGACGCUGAGAAAUUACUUGUCAAGUGGAAGGAAAAAUCUCUGGAAGCUAGGAUGAAAUACGACCCGAAGUUUGCCACUUCACCUAUCUUUAUCACUGAUAAGGAUUAUGAAUUCUCUGUCGACCAUGAGAUAAUCUCUCUAGUCGAAUCUGAUCCUUUUCACGGUUAUGAAUCUGAGACGGUCGUAGCCCAUCUUGCCAAACUACACGAUAUAGCCACCCUUUUCACUAAUGAGGAGAAGAUCCGCCACUACUAUAUCCUUAAGCUGUUUCCUUUCUCUCUAAAGGAUGACGCUAAAGCCUGGUUCACCUCUCUUGCUCCUGGAUGUGUGAGUAGUCCCCAGGAUAUGGUCUAUUAUUUCUGUGAGAAAUAUUUUGCUUCCCAUAAGAAGCAAGUUGCCUUGCAGGAAAUAUACAACUUUGCUCAACUCCAAGAAGAGUCUUCCACAAGCUUGGGGGAGGAUCUUCCAGCUAGAGAAUGCUUUGCCUGAUCACCCCCUUAAGAAGAACGAGAUACUUGAUAUCCUCUAUAACGUACUUACCGAUGCCUCUAGAGACCACCUAGAUAGUUGUGCCGGUUGUGUUUUUAGGGAACGAACUGUAGAACAAGCUGAGACUCUACUGAGUAACAUCUUGAUCAACGAUAAUGCUUGGACUAUUCCCGAACCACCUCCUAAGCCAACCCCGAAGAAAAGAGGUAUUAUAUUCCCCAGUCCCGAAGAUAUGCAAGAAGCCAAGAAAUCUAUGCAAGAGAAAGGCAUUAGAUCUGAAGAUGUCAAAAAUCUACCACCUAUCGAAGAGAUCCAUGGUCUCGAUAACCCGAUGGAGGUAGUAGAAGUGAAUUCUCUGCGUAGGUUUGAUGAGAGUGAUAUUCCUUUUGACAAACCUGCUAGCCUAUGCUUUGAUGAAUUUGACAACUUUGUUGCCAAACAACAGAGUCUCAAUGAUUAUGUUAGCAGACAUUUGGAACAAAGUACUCGUAUGCUUAGCCAUUUAAGUGCUUGUGUAGACAGAAAUGUCAAUGAUCUGAAGCUUCUGAGUAAACAUGCCUCUAUGAUUACUACUCAGGUAGAACAAGUACUUAAAGCUCAAAAUCACUUGCUCAAUGAAUUAAAUGACAACUCUGUCAGAGUCAUUACUAGAGGAGGCAAAAUGACUGAGGAACCUUUGUAUCCUGAAGGUCAUCCUAAGAGAAUUGAUCAAGAUUCUCAAGGAAUCAAUGCUGAUACACCCAGUCAUCCUAAGGAGAAGAAGAAGGAUGAUAGAAACCUACAUGCCAGUUCACCAAAUACUGUCACACCUGAAGAACCUAAUGAUAUUUCUGCGUCUGAUGCAGAAACACAAUCUGGUGAUGAACAUGAACCUAGUGACAAUAUGGACAGUGAUGUUCAUAAUAAUGCUCAACCUAGCAAUGAUGAGGAUGUGGAGAUUGAACCUACAGUUAAUCCUGCUAACCCACAACCUAAGAAAUACGAGAAGAAUGACUUCACUGCUAGGAAGCAUUGUAAAGAAAGGGAGCCAUGGGUUCAGAGAUCCAUGCCCUUUCCUCCUAAGCCAUCCAAGAAAAAGGAUGAUGAGGAUUUUGAGCGCUUUAUUGAAAUGAUAAGACCCAUCUUUCUGCAGAUGCGGUUAACUGAUAUGCUCAAGAUGUCUCCGUAUGCCAAGUACAUGAAAGAUAUCGUGACUAAUAAACGGAAGAUACCGGAUCUUGAGAUCUCCACCAUGCUUGCCAACUACACUUUCAAAGGUGGAACUCCUAAGAAACUUGGUGAUCCCGGAGUGCCCACUAUACCUUGCUCCAUUAAAGGAAACUACGUAAGAACUGCCUUAUGUGACCUUGGAGCCGGUGUUAGUGUUAUGCCGCUCUCUCUUUAUCAUAGAGUUGAAUUGGAUAAGUUGACACCCACUGAAAUUUCUCUGCAAAUGGCCGACAAAUCAACUGCUUUCGUUAUCGGCAUUUGAGAGGAUGUGCCUGUUGUGGUUGCUAACACCACUAUCUUAACAGACUUUGUUAUCUUGGAUAUGCCCUAGGACGAUGCCAUGGCUGUCAUCCUCAGAAGACCCUUUUUAAACACGGCAGGGGCUGUUAUAGAUUGCAACAAAGGCAAUGUCACUUUCCAUGUCAACGGUAAUGAGCACACCGUGCACUUUCCGAAGAAACGAUAUCAAGUAAAUUGCAUCAAUGCUAUCGAAAAGACUUCAUCGAUUCUCAUUGGGAGCUUUGAAUGCCCUAUUCCUCGUGUCAAGAUGAAGUAUGAUUUGCUUGUUGGGGAGAUACAUAUCCCCAUUGAGGUGACUUGGUGGCUACUCGAAAAUUCUCCAUUCUCUCUUGCAAUUCGAGAAGGUUUUGUCAUGAGGACUUGAUCAACCCCAUUGACGGAUUUCUUUCGAUGACCUUGAAAUGGAUGAAUCAAAGAGUCACAUACCUCUGUUUUAAGCUUUCAUUUUCUGUUGCUUAGAAGAAAAAUGAUAGAAUUAGUAUAGUUUUCCCUAUUUUCUGUUUUAGCGUCCCGGAGAAAAAUACCUCGAAAAUAAAAGUUCUCCGAUGGUCCUGAAAAUUUAGUAUGAUUUUUUUUGAAAUUUUUGAAAAUUACUGGGCCUGAGAGCUGGCCUGGGGGCCAGACCAGUGGGCCACAAGCCCUGCCACCGCCACCCCCUGGUGGCGGAGUGCAAGCUUGUGGGGCCCACAGGGACCCCCUACACUCAUUCCAGCUCCCAACCUCUUCUUCCACCUCCAGAAAAAAUUGUUUCGCAGCUCAAACCCGUGUUCUUGCUCAUUUGGCUGUGAUUUUCGAUCUCCUUGCUCAAAGCAGCAUUCUCCGAACCGUUUUGGAGAAAUUACUCCUUGGUAAGUGACUCCUCCAUUGGUCCAAUUAGUUUUUGCUCUAGUGCUUUAUCCUUCGCGUAUUCUUGCUACCUUGGUGACCCUAUUCUUGAGCUAGAAAGGUUGAUUUUACCUGGUCCCAAGUAGUUUUAGCGCGUGAUACAGUCUCUAGGCACUAGUAGGAGUAGUUGCUACAAGGUAUGGUUGGUCUUCAUUCACUUUUCUCUUGAACUUCAAAAAUUUCAGCGAAAGGAAAUUAUGUUCAAGAGGAAGUUUCAUGGUGGUUCCUCAAGUAAGAAGGGUCCCCGUCUUUCUUUUCGGGAGCCCAAACCUUUUCAACUAAGGGACGCACCGGUACAACCAUGUGAAUGGCCUUCCGACGAGUUCAUGAUCGAAGCAGGUUUCAAGGAUGAGUUUGAUACACUUGUCCGCAAUGCCGGGUUAGAAGAAUUCCUCUCAGAUAAAUGUGAACAGUAUGCUAUGCUCACCGCCUCUUUCGUGCGUAGAUUUAAAUUUUCAGUUGGCCGUGACUCAUCCAUACUGUUUGAUCUAUACGAUAAAUCCUAUACCAUGGAUUUGGAGGAUUUCAAUAGGAUUUGCAAGAUACCCGAUGGGGGUAGUAUUAGUGAUCCUUCUAAGUCUUCGGUCAGAGACUUUGUCUCCAGUAUAACUGUUGAAGAAACCAGAGAUAUCACGCAAGCCACCAUAGGAAGCAUCCAUUUCCCUGCCUUGCACUACCUUGCCAUCUUCAUAGGUAGGUGCAUUAACGGCAAGGGUGCACAUUGUCACCUAUGCGCUUCCGACCUUAGUAUCCUUAAGAGCGCAGUAACAGGUGACAAGAGCUUCAAUAUGGGAGCUAUAAUAGCAAGGAGGCUGAAUAAAAAUGCCAGUGAGGGGGAUUUCUUUGGUGGAGUUUAUGCUACACGCUUAGCAAAUUUUCUUGGAGUUUCCAUCCGUCCAGAAGACCCUCCUCUCCGUACAGCCUACCUUGAUUGUGUCGCUCUAACAUGCUACCAGUUCCUUGAGAGAGAUCAUGGAUCCCUCCUAUACCGCUUGAUAUUUAACCGACAGCGUGUUUUCCAUAUUAACCUUCCUGCUCUUGCUUUCUUUGACUUUCAGGUAAAACAAAGAUACUACAUAACCGUAGGAGAGGCAGAGGAGUAUGAGAGGGAGGUGACGGCUGCUCGACUUCGUGAGGCAGCUAUUCAGGUAGUGGCUGCAACACUCCCGUAUAACACCCAUUAUGAUUUUGGGUUUCGCGAGGACCAUCCUUGGGAGUAGACCAAGCUAGGCCAAAAGCCUAAGCUUGGGGGAGUACGUGUUCUCACCGACUUUACAUUCAUGCUUAUGCUUUCACUUUGUUAGCCGGUGUUUACACUUUGCCACUGUAUUAUCCAUGCUAGUUUAUUUUUGUUUUCUUGUUUUAUUAUUUUGUGUACUUUUGAGAAAACCCAAAAAGAUUUUUCUUUCUUCUUUUGCUUGUUAGGACUAAGCUUGGAAAUAGUUUUCUUUUUUUCUUUGGGUCAAGGUAGAAGAUAUUGGUUUCAAUGCUUAGUGGCUUUUGCUUGCUUACCUGUUUAGCUUUCAAAGAGCCAUAUUACUUUGUCUUCUCCUUUGUGUUUGCCUGCAGAUUCAGCUUAGUCCAAUGCGCUUAUUAUCGUUCUCAUCGUUCGAUCGUGCAAAUGAAAGGCAACAAUGAUGAUAUACGAUGAAGUGACUGAGAUUGGAAAAGCUGGUAUGAACUGUUGGAAAUAUGCCCUAGAGGCAAUAAUAAUAUGGUUAUUAUCAUAUUUCCCUGUUCAUGAUAAUCGUCUAUUGUUCAUGCUAUAAUUGUAUUAACAGGAAACAGUAAUACAUGUAUGGAUAAAUAGAUCACAAUGUGUCCCUAGCAAGCCUCUAGUUGGCUAGCUCGUUAGUCAAUAGAUGAUCAUGGUUUCCUGAUCAUGGGCAUUAGAUAUCAUUGAUAACGGGAUCACAUCAUUGGGAGAAUGAUGUGAUGGACAAGACCCAAUCCUAAGCCUAGCACUAGAUCGUAUUGUUCGUAUGCUAAAGCUUUUCUAAUGUCAAGUAUCUUUUCCUUCGACCGUGAGAUUGUGCAACGCCCGGAUACCGUAGGAGUGCUUUGGGUGUAUCAAACGUCACAACGUAACUGGGUGACUAUAAAGGUGCACUACGGGUACCUCCGAAAGUGUCUGUUGGGUUGGUACGAAUCGAGAUCGGGAUUUGUCACUCCGUGUGACGGAGAGGUAUCUCUGGGCCCACUCGGUAGAACAUCAUCAUGAGCUCAAUGUGUCUAAGGAGUUAGUCACACGAUGACGUGCUACGGAACGAGUAUAGAGACUUACCGGCAACGAGAUUGAACAAGGUAUAGGUAUACCGACGAUCGAAUCUCGGGCAAGUUCUAUACCGACAGACAAAGGGAAUCGUAUACGGGAUUGAUUGAAUCCUUGACAUCGUGGUUCAUCCGAUGAGAUCAUCGUGGAGCAAGUGGGAUCCACAAUGGGUAUCCAGACCCCACUGCUGGUUAUUGGCCAGAGAGGUGUCUCGGUCAUGUCUGCCUGUCUCCCGAACCCGUAGGGUCUACACACUUAAGGUUCGAUGACGCUAGGGUUAUAGGGAAUUGUUAUACGAGGUUAUCGAAAGUUGUUCGAAGUCCCGGAUGAUAACCCGGACGUCACGAGGAGCUCCGGAAUGGUCCGGAGGUAAAGAUUGAUAUAUAGGACGGAUGGUUUCGGAUACCGGAAGUGUUUCGGGCAUCACCGGUAACGUACCGGGACCACCGAAGGGGGGCAACGACCCCGGGAGGUAAGGUGGGCCAAGUGGGGGUGGGAACCAGCCCCUAGGUGGGCUGGUGCGCCUCCCCACUCAGCCCAUUGCGCAAGGGAGAGAAAAGGGGGGGCAAACCCUAAGCCAGGUGGGCCUAAGGCCCACCAGUUGGUGCGCCACCCCCUCCUCCCCCCUCUGCCCGCCGCACCUCCCAUCUGGGGCGGCUGCCGCACCCCCUAGGGUGGGAACCCUAGGGGUGGCACCCCCUCUCCCCUUCCCCUAUAUAUAGUGGGCACUUUUGGCCAUUGGAGAUUAGACUUUUCCCUCUCCCUCGGCGCAGCCCUGCUCCUCUUCCUCCUCCUCUCUACCGGUGCUUGGCGAAGCCUUGCCGGGAGACCUUGUAUCUCCAUCGACACCACGCCGUCGUGCUGCUGGAGUUCUUCCCCAACCUAUCCCUCCUCCUUGCUCGAUCAAGGUACGGGAGACGUCACCGGGCUGCACGAGUGUUGAACGCGGAGGUGCCGUAGUUCGGCACUAGAUCGGAAUCGCUGCGAGUACGACUCCAUCAACCGCGUUCUAGCAACGCUUCCGCUUAGCGAUCUUCAAAGGUAUGAAGAUGCUCUUACCCCUCUCUCGUUGCUAGUCUCUUCAUAGGAAGAUCUGAAUAUGCGUAUGAAAAUUUUGAAUUUAUGCUACGUUUCCCAACAUGAACUCUAUCUAUUUUGUUUUUGUAAAUAUGACUAGCUUGUCAACCCAGAUUCUGCUUUGUUGUGAGAGAACCAUGUUUGCAAUGACAACUUAGAGAUCAUAGUUUCUGAUGCCAUGCUUAGUUAGCUGAGAGUUUAUAAUGGUUUGUCUUGAAUGCCAACAUAGAUUUUGAGAUGACUAUGAUGUAGUAUGAUAGGAUGGUAUUCUCCUUUGAAUGUUUCAAGUGGCUUGACUUGGCGCAUGUUCAUGCAUGUAGUUGAAACAAAAUCAACAUAGCCUCUAUGAUGUUCGUGUUCAUGCUGAUUUAUAUCAUGUUCAUGCUUGCAUUUAAUGUUAGUCAAACUCAUUGCAUCUUGAUGACUGUUGACGCUCUCUAGUUGGUCGCUUCCCAGUCCUUUGCUAGCCUUCACUUGUACUAAGCGGAAUACUGCUUGUGCAUCCACUUCCAUAAACCCAAAAGUUUUUCCACGAGAGUCCACCAUACCUACCUAUUUGCGGUAUCUACCUGCCGUUCCAAGUAAAUUUGCAUGUGCCAUUCUCUAAACCUUCAAGAAAUAAUCUGUUUUGCAUGCCCGGACCGCUCAUGUGGUGACAGGGGGCUAUUGGUAUCUUCCAUGCUAGGAGUGUUAUCCUCGACAUGUGUUUAUUCACUGUCAUUCACGAGAAAGGGGCCGGUAAUUGGAAUGCCCAGUUCCACGCUUAAAUCGAAAACAUAACUGUAAAACAAGACUCCCCCUGGAUUGAUGUUAGUAUGGACGGUACCCGAGGAUUCGGCUACCCGUGGAGUGUGAUUGAUUGGUGGUGGGGGAGUUAAAACUUUACUUUUCUGUUUGGGAACCGCCUAUAGCAUGAGUAGCAUGGAAGAUAUUGAGAACUCUUGGUCAUUGCGUUGACAAUGAAAGCAUGCCACACAAAAUUAUUAUUUCUGUUUUCAUAGCUUGAGCUCUGGCACCUCUACAAAUCAAUGCCUCCCUAUGCGAAGGGCCUGUCUAUUUAUUUUCAUGUUGAGUCAUCCUCUUCUUAUAAAAUCACCAAUUAGAGAGCACCUGUGUCAUUUUUAUGCUUUGCUUUUGAUUGAUAUUGAGUAUGACUAUGACUGGAUCUUCGUUGCUAUGAAUUACAAUGUUUAGUCAGCCCUUGAUCUUUGAAAGUGCUCCGCAUUUAUGUUUUGCGGUCUCAGAAAGAGCUAGCGAGAUACCACCUAUUCAUAUUGCUUCAUACUUGUUUUGAUUGAAGUGUUGGUAUUUGAAACUCAUUAUUAUUUGCUCGUUAGCUGAUUAUGCCAUUGAUAUUAGUUUACCGUGAGACCUUUGUGUCACUUGCUUAUGUGAUUAACUUGUGAUCUUGCUGAAAUUCUGGUUAUGAGUUAGACAUAGUUGCAACAACAAGAUCAAACAGAGUUUGUUAAAGUUUUUCUUUCUCUCUCAGUUUGUCAACUGAGUUGCUUGAGGACAAGCAAGGUUUUAAGCUUGGGGAGUUGAUAUGUCUCCAUCGUAUCUACUUUUCCAAACUCUUUUGCCCUUGUUCUGGACUCUAAUUUGCAUGAUUUGAAUGGAACUAACCUGGACUGACGUUNNNNNNNNNNNNNNNNNNNNNNNNNNNNNNNNNNNNNNNNNNNNNNNNNNNNNNNNNNNNNNNNNNNNNNNNNNNNNNNNNNNNNNNNNNNNNNNNNNNNUCGAAUACUCUACCCUCGAAAACUGCUACGAUCCCACGCGCUGGUGGGCCGUCAACAACAUUCUUCUAGUUUGGAUUGCCGGAGAUUGCUAGCAGCAUUCUUCUAGUACCGUUGCAAGGGAAGGUCUGCUGUUACAGAGUCAGUUGUCAACAGAGCUGGUCGUCUGCUGGGGACUUUGAAAGAUAGAUUCAUAGACAUCCUUCCUCCUGGCAUACCAUAUCGCCCACAAUGUCACAGCCAAUCUAGAGAACCGGCCUUGAGACAAACGGUCGCUAAGCUGGAACAACCACAACCGAGCAUUGGGCAGCCAGGGCCAGAAGUAACUUUUUUUGGUGUUGGAGGCCCAGGCAUAAAGGCCCAAUCAACGUCUCAAUCUAGCACGCACGACCAUGCACGCACGGUCGAUCGGGAGCUCCUAUGCAGCGCUGCAGGCGCCAGUUAACGAUCCGGCGCCUGCAGCGCUGCUAGCAUGGACCAGCCCAUUAGAGUGUUGUCCAGUUUUAUUUUUUAUUUUUUUAUUACGAAGAUAAAAGUAUGAAAUCGAAAAACGUUUACAGAUUUAAAGAAAAAAAUGUUCAUAUCUUUAAAAAGGGUUUAUCGAUUUUGAAAAAAUUUCAUCAAUUUGAAAAAAAGUCAUUGAAAAUGAAAAAAAAAGUUCAUCCAAUUUAGUAAAAGGUCAUUAAAAUUUUAAAAUGUUCAAUAAAUUUAUAAAAGAAAAUCCAAACAAUUGCACUUAUUUUUUUUCUAAAUUCAUUGAACUGAAAAAAAGGUUCAUAAUUCUUAAACAUUUUAAUCAAUUUUUUAAAAGAUGUUCGUCAAGAUUCAAAAGCUCAUUGCUAUUCAAAAAGCUCAUAAAUCUUAUAAAAUAUUCGCUGAAAUUUACAAAAUUAUCAUCAAUACUAAAAUAAGUUCAUGCAAUUUUCAAAACAAAAAAAAUUCAAAAUGCGCCUAGAUGGGCCAGCCCAUUCAGGAACGCCACAGGCGCCAGUUAACAAAAAUGCACGUUAACUGGCGCAAGGUGCCAAAUAGGAAAUGCUCGGCCGACCACUGCCGAGAAGCACGCCGCGCCGCGUCUCUGCCUCCUCCCCUGACUGGCGCCGGCCCUGCUCCGGCCCGGCCUCUGCCCAUCUCCGACCCGGACCGCCGCCGAUCUUCCUCCUCUACGCGCAGGCCGCCUCUGCUCCCCACACGCGCGCGCAGCCGCAGGGGGUCGCCUCGAUCCUGCCCCGGACGCGUAGGCAGGCGCGCGUUCGCCGCGCAUCCUCGACCUCCGUUCUCGACGCCAAGGUCGCCGACCGGCUUCUUCCUCUCCCCGUGAGCGGCGCCUGUAUGCAAUCUUUGCCCAUCACCGUUUCCCCCCUCUUUUUCUUAUGUCUCACUCUGUUAUGUGCACGUCAGUUGUUCGGCCGAAUGCCUAUGAGCAAUGCCGUUGCUGCAUGCAUAUAUCUCUAACUGGCCCUACUAGGUAGGGGACAACCACCUUCUGUGUUGCGUGCAUGACAGGGCGAUCCGCUGCCUUAGUUCCGAAGCUGCUUGAUUACAUCUUUGGUUUAUUACUGACCACCACCACGUACUAUAUGAUUAUAGUAUCUUGCGGAAAAUAAAUGGUAGACAUCGUGCGCCUGGUAUGACAUUGCUGCGCUGCUAACGUUGUUAUGUUCUCUACUUUGUGUUUCUCAUCUUAUUUGCAUCUUCUGGGUUGAUUUGUUAUGUUAGGCCAUUUAGGGCUUCUUAGAUGUGAGGACAUACAUGCUAGUGCAAUAUGCAAUGCCUCAUGCUGAAAUAAAUAGGUGCCCAGAUUUGUGUAACUAUUUGACCCUCUGCGUAACCAGAAAAAUUUCAACAUGGGGAAGAAGCCGGGCAGCGCCGGCCCAUCAUCGGCAUCCAGGCCCAUGAAUCAGGCCGUGUCGCUCCGUGAGGAGACCUCCGGGAAGACGCAUGCUGACGCACCCUCCCUGCUGAGAGUCCAGCACCUGCAGCGGCUGGGGGCGUGGGCGAGCGGGGAGGCGGGAGUUGGCUCGAUCGGGGCGCUGCUGGGCCGCCGAUUCGCCAUGAACACCGAGGCGGCCGGUGUACCCAUAGGUGCCUCCACCUUCCUUUGCCAGAGGUGAGAAUUACAGCUUACUGUGUGGUCUUAAAAUGCUCCAUUCAUUUGUCUAGUUAUUUCACCGUAUCAAUCUGACUAUUAUAUUUGCACUUUAAUUUCAAUUAUAAUUUAUUUGUGUUCAACUUUCUGCCAUUACAUUGUUUUUGGAUGAAAGCUUGUUCUAGCAAAGUAGCAUGUCUGCGUAUUGUAAUGUUGAAAGUUGAGACUUCUCGAAACAAAAACAUUAUAAGUAUUGUCCCACCAUCCUGAGAUCCUAAGAAGAAGCCAUCUAAGUCCAAGGACCCCAGUAUCAGUAUAUACACAUACACAUACAGUUGACAUGUUCGGUCUACACACUAAGUAUUGUGUUAACUAUGCUGUACAAUUAGCUUGUUGAAUCCAUGUUUGCUUGGAUUUCAAUUACCUUAUCAAAGUUUCUCAAUGUAAUAUAUCAGUUCAAGCACUUGUUGGAUUUGUGCUAAACUCCUGAUACUCACAAAUCAACAAUUUUUGUCUACUUACAUUGAUUAAGGGGUACCACUUUAUUCCAGUGAUUUUUGUCUUGUUUGCAGUACCCACUGUUGCUGAGAUACUAUCUCCUACUCCUAUAGCCUUGAAAAACAUGUUUUAUUCAUUAAAAGCAAUCUGUGACAUGCAGAUAAUCUUUAGAUGGGUGGUUGUAAGGCAAAAAAAUAAAUUUAAAAUGAUCGAACAUACAAAUUUAAGUGAAGCAUCUUGUGUUCAGGUGUUAUGACCGGUACAACGUACCAACGGAGGAGGCCCAAUGGGCAGGGUUAAUUACGGGCUUAGCCCAAGUUAUCUCACCUAUCUUAGAAGUCCAAGUUAUAUUAGAGUCCAAGUUAGAGUCCAAGCUAUCUAGGGUUUAGUGGAGGCUGUCCUCCUUUAUAAACACAUGUACCCCUUCGAUAUUAAUCAGACAAUAAACAGUAUAUUCUGCUGUCGUCUCCCUCAGUAGACGAGAGCCCCAAACCCUAGCCGCCUCCCUCUCUCUCUCUCACGCCGCGACGGCGCCCAACCGCCGGCGCCGGCGUCCCCAACCUCGCAGCCCGCACUUCCACCGCUACAACCUACGUCCGAGACCUGGUAGAACCCUAGCCUCUACCAUCAGGACAAUGAACUACACAUAACUUAGAGAAAAGAUGCGAAACUUUUUGGUCGUCCAUUUUUACAGGGCGAACAUUUUGCAUGUUGCAUUGGUUUUCACCGGAAUGCACCUUAGCUGAUUGUUCUGGUUCUUUGUAUUGCCAGAAUCUGAGCUUACUAGCAUAGAAGAACUGGAAAUAAAGAAAACUGCACUGAUAAUGUUGUAUGGGUUUUCAGGUUUGGAGCAAAUUACCACGAAGUUUUUCUUUCUUGCUUAACUUUUGAUCUCAAAUCUGUCAUAGUGCCAUGUGUGUAUGUAUGCAUAUAUCAGUUUAUUUUUAAUACGCCUUAGUCUGUACUUUGUAGUAAUACUGAUAAAAACAUUCUUUUGUGUGUGAAGAAUUUUUGGAAUUAUGUGUUUAGCUCAUAACAGCACAUUCAGAGUCCUUUCAUUUUGCUAGUUUGCAAAAAAGGUCCUUCAGAAUAUAUCAACUCAUAACACUAACCACUAACUCUGUAAGAAACAUCUCCAAUCUGCAGUAUGUUUAUCAGACCUCUGAAGAAAGGUCAUUCGAAUAUUGCAGGUGUGAAUCAAUCUUACAGCCAGGCUUCAACUGCACAAUCCGCAUAAAGAACAACAAAAAGAAAGCAAAACGGCGCAAGAAGUCAAAUCUUGGCCAAAACAAUGUUGUUUAUGCAUGCCAUUUCUGUGGAGACGAAAACCUGAUACGGGGUAGUGGAAAGGGUAUCGUGAAGAGCCUAUUGUCAUCAAGAAAGCCCGUUAGCACCAGCAUAAUGUUGAAAGGAGUCAAUAUGCCAACUGUGACUACUAAAAAGGGGAUUGAGCAUUCUGUAACAGCAGCCUCGCAACUGGAAUCAUCCCACAGAAUGAUGGAUUUUGAUCUGUUAGGAGAUGCACAUGUAGACAUCCCACAGAAAAUUGGAGUGGAAAGCACAGAUGAUAAAUGUAUGAAUAUAAUUGAGCCAGCGGCUUCGAAGAAUAUUCCAACAUGUGAACCAGAUGUCACUUCUCGAGCAGAAUUUCUAGUUGGGUCAAACUUUGUUACUCCUCGGAAGAGCAAACUGGCGGAAGCGACUGCGCCUAUAACUUCAGCAGAAGCAUUGAAGACUAGAAGUACACUGAAGAGCAAAGGGCAGAAUUGUGGUUCCGUUGCUGGCAAGAUCCCUGGAAGUUACAGCAACUCAGCUUCGAAUACCAAAUCUGCGCCAGAUGAUUCUACUCAGGCAGCUGGUAGUUCAAGGAAGCGAGCAAGAAAAGGAUGGACUACACUGAAGCAGAUUGCUGAGAAUGAUGAGCUUGAGAGAAAAGAGAAGAUGGAUAACUUUGUAAUCCCGUUCUUCAUGCAGUAAAACAAUGGCUGGAAGAACAGUUAUACUCUCUCCGUCCGAAAAUACUUGUCACAUGGAUGGAUGCAUCUAGAUGUACUCCCUCUGUCUCAGUUUACAAGUCUGACACAUGUAUCUAGGUCCUCAAUUUGACUAACUUAAUGAGAGGCGUAUAUUACAAAAAAUAUAUCAUUAGAAACUUUAGAUGUUCUAUUUUCUAAUGAUAUAAUUUUUAUAUUAAAAAAUAUAUUUUAUAUAAGUCAAAUUGAUGACCUAGGUACACGUGUAUUCCUUCUAAACUGUGAUGGAGGAAGUAUUUUAGUUCUAGAUACACAUUUUUAUACAUUUGUGCGACAAAUAAUUCCGGACGGAGGGAAUAGUUUUUAGUGGUAUUUUUUAGUUAUGUAUUUCUGCACCAGUUAUGUCCUAAGCAGUAUGAGAGAAAUUCAAAAUGAAACCUAGCUAAGGCAGAUAUGCUAGCUGUCAAGGGAGAAUGAAAGCAAAGGAUUGGAUGUCAAUCAAUGUGGGUGCGCUUGGCUGGAGCUGCCAUGUUGUGAAAGGUAAAGUCAAAUACUAUGUUUAGUACUUGGCUGAAGGAUUAAUAAUCCAAAGAUCCAUUCAUGCAGUUAUUUUCUGCAUUUUAAUCAGAUCCAGGAUGCUAAUUGUGCUUCAGAUGAUAUACAAUCUAUGCCAUUUAGGGGCGGCUCGGCCAGAAGCUAUGAAAAGCUAUAGCGAAGUUAAGCCCCAUUUAACAUUUUUUAUAAAUCAUGAAAAUUUGAAAAAAUAAAUAUACAAUUAGGUAUCAUAUAUGAUAUAUUGCAUAUACAUGAUACAUACACAUGUUUGCACAUCGAAAUAUGAGCACCACUCAGGUGUCCUAAUUUAAUAACCAAGCUUUGUGUCAAUGCAUCAUAUAUAUCAGAAACAAGAACAAAAGGUAAUGCAAAAUGAUGGUUUAUAUAGCGGCUUAGCGGGCUAAAUGACUUUAAAUUUAGAGUUAUAGUGGGAAAUAGUGGGCUAUUAGCGACAUAUUCAACUUAGGGUUAAAAGUGCAUAGCUUUAGCGGGAGAGCUCUCAAAAGCUAUCGUCGACUAUCUAAAACUUUGAUACACUGGCUAACAUUUCCUUUCGCUCUGUUAUACAUUAAGUUCAUUGGCUAGCAAUUCAUUAUAAGGAUGGCAACAGGUAAGGUAUGGGAAGCGAAGAGCAAUACCACACGCAUAUCCGUGUAGUCAACGGGUAUGAAACUUUAUCCGUACCCGUGCCUGACGGGUACCCAUACCCAUUGGAUACCUAAUGGGUAAAUGAAACAGUACACAAGUUAUUUAUAAUUUUACAUUCUUCAUAACACAUUUGACAAAAUACCAUUGAUCUUAACUUAAUAACAGAUACUUCCUCUAUUCCAAAAUAAGUGUCUCAAGCUUAGUACUCCCUCCGUUCCUAAAUAUAGAUCUUUUAAGAUAUUUCACUAGAAGUCUACAUACGAAGUAAAAUGAGUGAAUCUACACUCUAAAGUAUGUCUAUAUACAUCCGUAUGUAGUCAAAUAAUGAAACCUCUUUAAAGAAUUAUAUUUAGAAACGGAGGGAGUAUAACUUUAUACUAAAUCUAGUAUAAAGUUAAGACACUUAUUUUGGGACAGAGGGAGUAAAUGAGUACAUGAUAACCAUCUCAAUUCAAAUUGACUAUUGGUGAUAACUUUAACAUAGAUUCACAAUAUCACGACACAACUUUAGCAUAGAUACACUUAUGAAUCACGGUUAGGUUCAUAUAUCAGUAUAAACGGGUAGGGUAUGGGUAUAUCCAUGGGUAAAAGGCUAUACCCAUGAUUUAACGGGUAGGGUAUGGAUACUACAUAUGGAUAUAAAAUUGUACCCAUACUCUGUCCAUACGGGUACGGUAUACGCGGGUACCCAUACCCAUGGGUAAAAUUGCCAUCAUUAGUUCAUGACCUGUGAAGUGGGGAUGUUCUUCAGUAUGAGUCACGUUAGAAAGUAAACUGAAACUGCAUCUGUGCUGAUGCACCAGUGUAGCAAUAACAUCUUUGAAGUAUUUGAUGACACUAUAAGCUGAUUAUGAUAAGACAAGGGCAUCUGCACAACUACGUCAUUUCCCCCUUCUUUAUCUACCACACAUCACAGUUUCUUCGGAGUUUGUUCUCUGCAUACAUUUCCGUUGCUGAUGAAGCAUUCCAUUGUUUCUGUCAGAUACCAUCGCAACGAUCACUCUACGGACUGUUUUACAUAAAUGCAGUCCACCAGUCUCUGGAUUUGGUAACACCGUCAGACUGGUAUGUAUGGCGCUUCUUUAGCUGCUCUGGCACUAACCUAUAUACCAUUCAUGUUGAGUUCUUGGGGGAUCUCCUGCUCGAAUCCUGUACCUGUAGUACACUACAGGAAAAAACAAUGUAAGCCGUGUAUGUUUCAUUCACGGUAAAAGCCAUUUCAAACUCGGCGAAGAGAGUAUGCCGAGUGUUACACUCGCGUAUAGCACACCUCUUACAUCCGGUCGGUUUAGGACUGAUAAGCCGAGUGUCACUUAUCGGGGCUUCGGCUUACAUGUAAAACGAGUAUUAUGCACGGGCACACGGCAAACAAAGCGAGAUCACGGUCGGCUGCACUAACACGGCAACGCCGAGUGCUCGCGGCCGAUCUCGGCUUACACGUAAGCCGAGUGCGUUCCCACGGCUUUCAGUAGCUAGAGUGAAGUCUGAAAUCAACCUUGUGGUUGUAGACGCCGACGAAAAUGAACCUUCACCUUCAAAUCCUUGAACUUUGUACCCUAAACUGUCUUAUCCCGGAUUUUUUUUAUCUUAAGCUCAUUUUAGGCCAGGAUCUGCUGACGUGGCUCCGUGUAGGCUGGGAUUGUGGUUUCUUUUUAACAGGGGACGCUGGUGGGGAAUUAUUUUAGGGUUCGACGACGGGAGAGAGCGACGGCGGAAGGCGACAGAGAGAGAGCGAGGGCGAGUUCGAUCCAGACCAAGGCGACGGAGAGAGAGCGACGGCGGAGGCGAUGUCGUCCUUCUCGAUUGGAUCCUCCUGUUCACGCGGCGAGGGGAUUCGACGGAGAGGCGCUGCAGCUAGGUCGCCGGUGCCGUAUCGUGAGCAGCCGAUGGAUUAUGAGUCUGCUGUUUUCUGCAGUCAUUGCGGGAGGAAGGCGCCUAGGUGGAUUUCAUGGAGUGUGGCGAAUCCUGGAAGGAGAUAUUAUGCUUGCGUCGAAUCUAAGGUUCUUCUCUAUUCUGUUCUUCUCUGUUCUGUUCUGUUCCUCUGCUCUGUUGUUCUCUGUUCGAUUUUAUCUGUCUAAAACUUCAGUUUAUUGAGCAGCAUGGUUUCCUACAAUGGCACGACGGCCCAACAUCUCCAUUCCUACGUGUAUUGUUGGGAGACCUUCGAGAUAGGGUAUGGAGUCUUGAGGAUGAUGUAGCAGCAUUGUGUGGAGAUGGAGAUGCAAGUGCUGGUGCUGGUGCAGUGCAGGAGGCAGUGCAAGAGAGAACUGCAGGUGUUGGUGCUGAUGGUGUUUCAGUUAGGAUGAUGGUUUGUGGAAUUGUGCUAUUUGUAUCAGGUUUAGUUGUAGGGAUGAUCAUAUCCUAGUUCCUUUGCUAGUAAUGGAUGUGAGGCAGUGUACUGUAUUUUGUGAAGUUUGUACCAUGAUGUGAGGCAAUGUACAAUGUACUGAAUUUUUAACAGUAUGUGCUGGAUUCUGUUAUGAAAUUUUGGUCAGUUUUGAAGUGCCAAAACAGCAACAUUUAACACAGAAAAUCUUCACAGCAAAAGAGCAACAUGUUUGGCAGCACCAAAAUAACAUAGCUGAUUCAGUAGUUCACUAAUUCUCACAGGACUUAGCAUAGCAGAUUCACAUCCAAAAUAAGUUUACUAGUUCACAUGAUCUAAAUAAUUACAGCACAUGUUCUCAUAAGCUGUGAAUUAGUUCCCAGAAGCUCUGAAUAGGCAUGACAUCAAUAGUUCCCAGAAGCUGUGAAAUAGGGCAUGAACCCACUUUCUCUUCUUCCUCUUGUGCCAGCAGAUGCAGUCCCUCUUCCUCUUCCUCCUCCUGUGCCAGCAGAUGAACCUCCCCUUCCUCUUCCUCCUCCUGUGCCAGCAGAUGAACUUCCCCUUCCUCUUCCUCCUCCCGUGCCAGCAGAUGUACUUCCUCCAUGUGCUUCAGAUGAUCUAGCUAUAGGUGUACUUCUUUUGGCAGCCUCAGUCUGUGCUUGCUGCAAAUAAAAAAAGAAAUAAGCACUACUGCAAAUAAUAGAGGAAUAUAUUGUUAGUGAGUAGUUGCAAAUUACCUCUGUGUCCCUUUGUUGUCUCCCUCUCUUCCCAAGAAAUGCUUUUGUUUUUUUGUUAUUAUCACCAUUCUUUCCACAAGAUCCUCU
Molecule: long non-coding RNA, 42440 nt
Filed under: Hordeum vulgare
Lineage: Eukaryota; Viridiplantae; Streptophyta; Magnoliopsida; Poales; Poaceae
Description: long non-coding RNA (HVUL_LNC017415)
Source: RNAcentral